GACGAACGCUGGCGGCGUGCUUAACACAUGCAAGUCGUACGGUAAGGCCCUUUCGGGGGUACACGAGUGGCGAACGGGUGAGUAACACGUGAGUAACCUGCCCACAACUUUGGGAUAACGCUAGGAAACUGGUGCUAAUACUGGAUAUGUGCCCCUGCUGCAUGGUGGGGGUUGGAAAGCUCCGGCGGUUGUGGAUGGACUCGCGGCCUAUCAGCUUGUUGGUGGGGUAGUGGCCUACCAAGGCGGCGACGGGUAGCCGGCCUGAGAGGGUGACCGGCCACAUUGGGACUGAGAUACGGCCCAGACUCCUACGGGAGGCAGCAGUGGGGAAUAUUGCACAAGGGGCGCAAGCCUGAUGCAGCAACGCCGCGUGCGGGAUGACGGCCUUAGGGUUGUAAAACGCUUUCAGCAGGGACGAAGCUUUUUGUGACGGUACCUGCAGAAGAAGCACCGGCUAACUACGUG
This 465-nucleotide ribosomal RNA is filed under the name uncultured bacterium. RNAcentral describes it as "partial 16S ribosomal RNA". It matches the Rfam family "Bacterial small subunit ribosomal RNA", at positions 28 to 507 of the family's 1533-position model. The record is from RNAcentral.